UGUGGCCUUAUGCAGCAGAGCUCUACAGCGUAGUUUCUUCUAUGCCUUGGGAAGAAUGUUCCAUUAUGGCGUCAUGGUUACCACGGCAUCUCUCAGCAAACAUUUGGACUUAGGAGAAACAGGAUGAAAUGCGUGUUAUUACCUGGGCUUGACGAGGUUAUUCUGGAAGAUGCCUUCUGGGUGUGGCUAAGAAGACUCCCCCUUUGGGAGACGGCUGCCUCCUGCUCAGCUCCUGCCCUCACGUACACAAGUUGCCUGACAGAGGUUAACAACCAAAGCCACGAAGGAAAUGGAAAGCAAACCUAACCACGAUCUGCUGGGGCUAUGGUCCAAACUACAGCCAGACUCCGACCUAGACACACCUCUGGACUGGCCGUCAUCUAGUCCUCAUUGUUCCCAGAGGAGGCUUUAAGAGUUCCCUUAAGUGAGAAGCACAUGGCACCAGGCCACCAGCUGGUGCUUCACAAAGGACAAAAACGGCCACCAGGUCUGGUGUUGUCCCUGUCCAUCCCCCUCCGUCCCCCCUGCCCCAUCCAUCCCAGCCCCACAAGGAUCCCUUUGCAAAUUAAACUGAUGGCUUUGUGGUUAAGUUUUUCACAUUAAAGUUAGCAGGGCUGAAAA
Molecule: long non-coding RNA, 621 nt
Organism: Mesocricetus auratus (golden hamster)
Lineage: Eukaryota; Metazoa; Chordata; Mammalia; Rodentia; Cricetidae
Exons: 2
Source: RefSeq, a predicted model, not a curated record